Molecule: ribosomal RNA, 254 nt
Filed under: uncultured bacterium
Lineage: Bacteria
Description: partial 16S ribosomal RNA
Rfam family: Bacterial small subunit ribosomal RNA
Source: RNAcentral
UACGGGGGGAGCAAGCGUUGUUCGGAUUUACUGGGCGUAAAGGGCGCGUAGGCGGCCAGCACAAGUCAGUUGUGAAAUCUCCGAGCUUAACUCGGAAAGGUCAACUGAUACUGUGCGGCUAGAGUGCGGAAGGGGCAACUGGAAUUCUUGGUGUAGCGGUGAAAUGCGUAGAUAUCAAGAGGAACACCUGCGGCGAAGGCGGGUUGCUGGGCCGACACUGACGCUGAGGCGCGAAAGCCAGGGGAGCGAACAGG